This 245-nucleotide ribosomal RNA is filed under the name uncultured bacterium. Its description in RNAcentral is "partial 16S ribosomal RNA". It matches the Rfam family "Bacterial small subunit ribosomal RNA", at positions 524 to 768 of the family's 1533-position model. The record is from RNAcentral.
UACGAGUACCCCAAGCGUUGUCCGGAAUUACUGGGCGUAAAGCGUCUGUAGGGCGUUUGAUACGUCUUCUGUUAAAUUUCGAUGCUCAACAUCGAAACUGCAGGGGAAACGGUCAGACUAGAGAGUGUGAGAGGCCAAUAGAACUUAAGGAGUAGGGGUGAAAUCCGUUGAUACCUUAGGGAAUACCAAAGGCGAAGGCAUUUGGCUGGUGCAUUUCUGACCCUGAGAGACGAAAGCGUGGGGAG